UUCGUUGUCGUGCAGCGGUUAGGAUAUCUGGCUUUCACCCAGGAGACUCGGGUUCAAUUCCCAACAACGAAA
This is a transfer RNA of Ipomoea nil (Japanese morning glory), 72 nucleotides long. It matches the Rfam family "tRNA". Rfam says of the family: Transfer RNA (tRNA) molecules are approximately 80 nucleotides in length. The record is from Rfam. NCBI's taxonomy places the organism in Eukaryota, Viridiplantae, Streptophyta, Magnoliopsida, Solanales, Convolvulaceae.